This is a long non-coding RNA of Syzygium oleosum, 697 nucleotides long. RefSeq lists it as uncharacterized. NCBI's taxonomy places the organism in Eukaryota, Viridiplantae, Streptophyta, Magnoliopsida, Myrtales, Myrtaceae. The transcript is spliced from 3 exons. The record is from RefSeq and is a predicted model, not a curated record.
GCAAACCCAUCCACCAACCUGUCGAUAUAAUCUCAGCAAACGCACGCUAUACUCCCUUCCCAUCUACCUUCCUCAAAGGAGCCAUCCACGUUCACCUUCAACUCACUGCUAUUUGGAGGCUUCCAUUCCUCAGAGUCCACUACCUUCGACGGCUCAGGAACUCGUGUUUUAAAAACAAAAUCGUUCCUUGCUCUUUCCACAUCUCCUUAAGCACAGACGCCAAUCGCUCCGAUGAAGGUGAGUUUCCCGUCCUCCUAACUUGAUUAAGUAGCCAAAUUUCAAAGUGGUCUAGCCCCUGCUCUGUUAUUUCCACUUGUAGGUCUGGGUGUCGCCAAAUGCCUUUCGUCCAAUUGCACAGCAGAAAGAUAUGUUCAAUAGUUUUUGGGCUUUGCCGACAGAGAGGACACACAGGUUCAAGCAAGUGAGAUGGCUGAGGCAAGCAACAACUAAGAAGGCUCGAUUUCAAGAUGCAUCAACUAGUGACAACUAUUGAAACCAGCAGUGAAGAAGGAUCCAAAACCACGUCAGGAUAGUGGCGUGAUUAAAUGGUAUGCCGUAGGGUAAAAGUGGAAGCACAGAGUCAUAGGGUGUUGAAGACGAUGGAGGAUUGAAGGGGCAGUAGAUAAAGAGGAAAAACUCUCAGAUCGUAAUCGAGAGAGGAAGCUCCCAUAGCAGGGAGAGAGAAGCUCCCAUUAGG